RNAcentral lists this ribosomal RNA (403 nucleotides) under uncultured bacterium. Its description in RNAcentral is "bacterial SSU rRNA". It matches the Rfam family "Bacterial small subunit ribosomal RNA", at positions 356 to 773 of the family's 1533-position model. The record is from RNAcentral.
GGGGGAUAUUGCACAAUGGAGGAAACUCUGAUGCAGCAACGCCGCGUGAGGGAAGAAGGUUUUCGGAUUGUAAACCUCUGUCCUUGGUGAAGAAAGAAAUGACGGUAGCCAAGGAGGAAGCUCCGGCUAACUACGUGCCAGCAGCCGCGGUAAUACGUAGGGAGCAAGCGUUGUCCGGAUUUACUGGGUGUAAAGGGUGCGUAGGCGGCUCUGCAAGUCAGGCGUGAAAACCAUGGGCUUAACCCAUGGACUGCGUUUGAAACUGUGGGGCUUGAGUGAAGUAGAGGUAGGCGGAAUUCCCGGUGUAGCGGUGAAAUGCGUAGAGAUCGGGAGGAACACCAGUGGCGAAGGCGGCUUACUGGGCUUUAACUGACGCUGAGGCACGAAAGCAUGGGUAGCAAAC